UAGGGAAUCUUCCGCAAUGGACGAAAGUCUGACGGAGCAACGCCGCGUGAGUGAAGAAGGAUUUCGGUUCGUAAAACUCUGUUGUUAGGGAAGAAAAAAUGUAUAGUAACUAUAUACAAAAGAGACGGUACCUAACCAGAAAGCCACGGCUAACUACGUGCCAGCAGCCGCGGUAAUACGUAGGUGGCAAGCGUUGUCCGGAAUUAUUGGGCGUAAAGCGCGCGCAGGUGGUUUAGAAAGUCUGAUGUGAAAGCCCACGGCUCAACCGUGGAGGGUCAUUGGAAACUAAUAAACUUGAGUGCAGGAGAGAAAAGUGGAAUUCCUAGUGUAGCUGUGAAAUGCGUAGCGAUUAGGAGGAACACCGGUGGCGAAAGCGGCUUUUUGGCCUGCAACUGACACUGAGGCGCGAAAGCGUGGGGAGCAAACAGG
This 429-nucleotide ribosomal RNA is filed under the name Verrucomicrobiota bacterium. RNAcentral describes it as "Verrucomicrobia bacterium partial 16S ribosomal RNA". It matches the Rfam family "Bacterial small subunit ribosomal RNA", at positions 355 to 776 of the family's 1533-position model. The record is from RNAcentral. Lineage: Bacteria; Pseudomonadati; Verrucomicrobiota.